UACGAAGGGGGCUAGCGUUGCUCGGAAUCACUGGGCGUAAAGCGCACGUAGGCGGAUUGUUAAGUCAGGCGUGAAAGCCCCGGGCUCAACCUGGGAACCGCGCUUGAGACUGGCAUGCUCGAGUUCGGGAGAGGAUGGUGGAAUUCCCAGUGUAGAGGUGAAAUUCGUAGAUAUUGGGAAGAACACCGAUGGCGAAGGCAGCCAUCUGGACCGACACUGACGCUGAGGCGCGAAAGCGUGGGGAGCAAACAGG
This 253-nucleotide ribosomal RNA is filed under the name uncultured bacterium. Its description in RNAcentral is "partial 16S ribosomal RNA". It matches the Rfam family "Bacterial small subunit ribosomal RNA", at positions 524 to 776 of the family's 1533-position model. The record is from RNAcentral.